Molecule: ribosomal RNA, 164 nt
Filed under: Panaetia davisiana
Lineage: Eukaryota; Viridiplantae; Streptophyta; Magnoliopsida; Asterales; Asteraceae
Description: Podolepis davisiana 5.8S ribosomal RNA
Rfam family: 5.8S ribosomal RNA
About the family: 5.8S ribosomal RNA (5.8S rRNA) is a component of the large subunit of the eukaryotic ribosome.
Source: RNAcentral
CAAACGACUCUCGGCAACGGAUAUCUCGGCUCACGCAUCGAUGAAGAACGUAGCAAAAUGCGAUACUUGGUGUGAAUUGCAGAAUCCCGUGAACCAUCGAGUUUUUGAACGCAAGUUGCGCCCGAAGCCAUCUGGUUGAGGGCACGUCUGCCUGGGCGUCACGC